UACAGAGGUCUCAAGCGUUGUUCGGAUUCAUUGGGCGUAAAGGGUGCGUAGGCGGCGCGGUAAGUCGGGUGUGAAAUCUUGGAGUUUAACUCCGAAACUGCAUUCGAUACUGCCGUGCUUGAGGACUGGAGAGGAGACUGGAAUUUACGGUGUAGCGGUGAAAUGCGCAGAUAUCGGGAGGAACACCUAUGGCGAAGGCAGCUCGCUGGGACGUUACUGACGCUGAGACGCGAAAGCGUGGGGAGCAAACAGG
Molecule: ribosomal RNA, 253 nt
Filed under: uncultured bacterium
Lineage: Bacteria
Description: partial 16S ribosomal RNA
Rfam family: Bacterial small subunit ribosomal RNA
Source: RNAcentral